RNAcentral lists this ribosomal RNA (386 nucleotides) under uncultured Rhizobium sp. RNAcentral's name for it is "bacterial SSU rRNA". It matches the Rfam family "Bacterial small subunit ribosomal RNA", at positions 306 to 710 of the family's 1533-position model. Lineage: Bacteria; Pseudomonadati; Pseudomonadota; Alphaproteobacteria; Hyphomicrobiales; Rhizobiaceae. The record is from RNAcentral.
GUUUUCUUUUCGUACACUAUACUGCAGUGUCUUACGGGAGGCAGCAGUGGGGAAUAUUGGACAAUGGGCGCAAGCCUGAUCCAGCCAUGCCGCGUGAGUGAUGAAGGCCUUAGGGUUGUAAAGCUCUUUCACCGGUGAAGAUAAUGACGGUAUCCGGAGAAGAAGCCCCGGCUAAUUUUGUGCCAGCAGCCGCGGUAAUUCGAAGGGGGCUAGCGUUGUUCGGAUUUACUGGGCGUAAAGCGCAUGUAGGCGGAUCGAUCAGUCAGGGGUGAAAUCCCAGGGCUCAACCGUGGAACUGCAUUUUUAGACUGUCGAUCUGGAGUACGGAAGAGGGGAGUGGAAUUCCGAGAGUAGAGGGGAAAUUCGAAGAUUUUCGGGGGACGCCC